Long non-coding RNA from Pseudoliparis swirei, 901 nucleotides. RefSeq lists it as uncharacterized. The record is from RefSeq and is a predicted model, not a curated record. The transcript has 2 exons. NCBI's taxonomy places the organism in Eukaryota, Metazoa, Chordata, Actinopteri, Perciformes, Liparidae.
CUCCACCCCAUGUGGAAACUGCGAUACCUCCACAAUCGCGGCAGGAGCCUCCGCCUUCUGGCUGAAGUCGAGAUGCAGCCACCCAGUCCCAGGCGGCGCUGCCGUAUCAAUGUUACAAUGCCACUGCUGGCGUUGUAUUGUGAUGGCCACAGUGACAUGAGGGUGGACUUCAGGCUCACCAGAGUCAUUCAACGCCCUCAUGGCUGUGCUGGGCGCUGACUGUGACCACGGUUGGGGCCCCGAGAUCUCCUGUCUAGUUUUUAUUUUUUGGCUUGCCAGCGCCACCUCCUAUCGGGUGGUGGCCAGGGCCUUCGACAGGCCCCGGGCUCAGUGCAUGAUGCCAGGGUCCUGAAUAACAGCCCCAUCUUCUAUGAGCAGUCAUCCCCUCCACCAGGAUACUGUAUCCUUGGGGAUGGUGGCUCCCUGCCUGUCCCAACCCAUCUGCCUCAUGACCCCUUCAGGCAGCCUGUCCACCUCCAAGCUACAACUGCUGCCUGUCAAAGGCGAGGUGUGUUGUGGAGAGGUCCUUCGGGAGACUGAAGACGCGAUGGCGGUCCAUCUUCUUAAAGGCCCUGGAGGUGGAUGUGAGGUGCCAGAGGUCAUUGGAGCCAGAUGCAGAUGUCGGGAGGGCAGCAGAGGACCAGCACCAGCACCUCCAGGAAACGUCUCUGGGCAGGAAACAGAAAGAGGAUAGCCAUUCAGUGCUCUGUCCCAGACCACGAUUACAUUUAAAUUAAUACAUACACGACAUUAAAAAAACACACAACGAUGAUUGAAAGCUACAAUUAUUUCUAGAAGGACAAGCUUAGAUAGCUAUCGUAACGGUAUUAAUUAUCGGGCGGCGUGUGGGCAAACGCUCGCGGUGUCAUGUUAACCCGUUAUUAAACUGAGCAUAUCCAUU